This 253-nucleotide ribosomal RNA is filed under the name uncultured bacterium. Its description in RNAcentral is "partial 16S ribosomal RNA". It matches the Rfam family "Bacterial small subunit ribosomal RNA", at positions 524 to 776 of the family's 1533-position model. The record is from RNAcentral.
UACGUAGGGGGCAAGCGUUGUCCGGAAUCAUUGGGCGUAAAGAGCGUGUAGGCGGUCCGAUAAGUCGGCUGUGAAAGUCAAGGGCUCAACCCUUGAAUGCCGGCCGAUACUGUCGGGCUAGAGUCCGGAAGAGGCGAGUGGAAUUCCUGGUGUAGCGGUGAAAUGCGCAGAUAUCAGGAGGAACACCGAUGGCGAAGGCAGCUCGCUGGGACGGUACUGACGCUGAGACGCGAAAGCGUGGGGAGCAAACAGG